RNAcentral lists this long non-coding RNA (1380 nucleotides) under Bos mutus (wild yak). Its description in RNAcentral is "lncRNA (ENSBMUG00000003060.1)". Lineage: Eukaryota; Metazoa; Chordata; Mammalia; Artiodactyla; Bovidae. The record is from RNAcentral.
GUCACACAGGCAGAGCACAGAUUUUUUUGAUUAUGUAGAUUUCUUUUCCUGCCGUAGUUUCAUAUGCAAAGCAUGCAGAGCCCCAUCCGUGCUAUCUCCUAAAGCAGUCAUUCUGAAACCCAAUCUGGGGACAGUGCAGACUAAAUAAAAUUUCAUUUUGAUUUGGCCUCCUGCUGCGAAUGGGACUGCUUUGUCUCAGCCGACAGAACGAGCGAGCCAGAAAGUUGAGUAAUGAAGACAUUGAGAUAAGAAGUGAUACGGAAACAGACAUAUGCGCCACAGAAAAACCACAAUCCAAGCUCAUGUUGAAAGAUGUGUUCCCAGAUUGGACUUUGGAAAUAAGUACCACCAAACCUCUCCAUGUUAAUUCUUCAAAUUAAAUGAGGGUAGUGUAACUAUGGGGCUUCCCAAGUGGCUCAGCAGUAAAGAAUCCGCCUGUAAUGCAGGAGACAAGUUCAAUGCAGUUCAAUCCCUGAGACAGGAAGACUCCCUAAAGUAGUAAAUGGUAACCCACUUCAGUAUGCUUGCUUGGAGAAUUCCUUGGACAGUGGAACCUGGUAGGCUACAGUCCACAGAGUCGCAGAGAGUCAGGCACAACUGAGCAUGCGUGCAUCGCACCUGUAUAUCACAAUCUCCAAUUCUGCCUUCUUGGAUGAAGCACCUAUGGUACACCAAGUGUGGAGCUUUGCAGAUGUAAGAACAGCAGCCCUGAACAGAGGAAAAAGAGGAGGAGGCCACCAAGGCUGGGUCCUGCGUCUUGUUUGAUGCUUCCUUUUUGUUCACAGCCAUCGGUGAGCUGGGGUAUCAGACCCCAUAGGAGGUUGCCUGUCUCUCUGCUUUCUCAGAGCUUGAAUUGAACCCUGGUCUGAUUGACUCCAAAGCAAGACUCAUUCACAGCCUGAGCUGGCCAGUGGGGAAAGGGAUAAUCAAGGCUCAAGUCCAGAUGCCCCAGUAGCAUGCUGCAGGCACUGGCAAAGAAGCAAUGCCACUGUACUGACUAAAGGAGACCACCCCUCAUCCCGAAUAUUCUUUUAAAACCAAGGAUGAGCUGCCAUAUGAGAUAUUACCUGACCAGCUCCUAUUGAGUCCUGAGUGAUCUGACUUUUCAGCAAGUAUUUUGUCCUGAACUCUAGAGAGUUAAGUAUUUUGUGCCCAUUUCACAGAUUUGAGAAAUGAAAUUCAUAAAGUAAAAUAUUUCUCCAAGGCUAGGAUGAAUGAAUUGCACAGCUGGAAAUGAGAGAAAAGCCAGGGGCACUUCCCCUGGUGGUGGUGGUGGGCCUCAGUCUUCCCUGGUCGCUGUGUUUGAUUCCCAAAGAGCCUUUGUAAGUUUGUGUGCUAUGAUCCUCUCAGUGACAUUUGAAAGUGAGAAGAACCAACUGU